This is a long non-coding RNA of Rhododendron vialii, 698 nucleotides long. RefSeq lists it as uncharacterized. NCBI's taxonomy places the organism in Eukaryota, Viridiplantae, Streptophyta, Magnoliopsida, Ericales, Ericaceae. The record is from RefSeq and is a predicted model, not a curated record. The transcript has 2 exons.
AACACCAUCGGAUCGUCAAAUCCAGCACCACCUGGCCACCAUCGACCACCACCAUCACUGGAAAAACAAGCACCGAACACAAAGACCCAAACCACUGCCUCAAAAUCUCAACCGGAGAAAUGAACCCAACGGGAGACCGACGCUGACAGGCCACUACUCACACCGUUAGGCAUACGUCAGAAAACCCAGGAGAGAUCCGACCAGUGAAGAGCACACCGGAGUCAGCGGCAAGCCGUGGUGGGAGCAGAUGUGACAAAAUUGCGGAGAAACAGAAAUUGGGCAGCCAAACCAGGGUGGGGGGCCGAAAAAAAAGAGAAUGAAGAAAAAGACAAGAAUCCUGGCAAGUCUCACCAAAACCGCCCUCGUCGCCGUCGGAGCACCACUGGACGAUCGCCGACCGAAAUCAGCACGCAAAAGACGAUCAGCAACACCCUUCCGUCGAGGACCAUGACCUCGGCAAUGACCCAGACAGCACCACCAUCUCCGACCACCCAGCUACUAUGUCAAUUGAUUUUUGGAGGAACCUGCAACAAACAAAACGUUAGAUAAAAACAGAGCUACAACCACCUACAACACCCAGGUCUACGCCACCCCUCCACCCCACAACCGCCACGGCCUCCAACAGCAAGAACUCCUCCCAACGCCGUUAGGCUAGAUCCGGUUCACCCAACAGUGAAACCGGCGAGGACACCUCGUCA